CAGGGAAUAUUGCGCAAUGGGCGAAAGCCUGACGCAGUAACGCCGCGUGGGGGAUGAAGGCCUUCGGGUUGUAAACCCCUUUCAGCAGGGACGAAAUUGACGGUACCUGCAGAAGAAGCACCGGCCAACUACGUGCCAGCAGCCGCGGUAACACGUAGGGUGCGAGCGUUGUCCGGAUUCAUUGGGCGUAAAGGGCGUGUAGGCGGCUUUGUAGGUCCGCUGUGAAAACUCGAGGCUCAACCUCGAGAUGUCGGCGGAAACCACUUGGCUAGAGUCCGGAAGAGGAGAGUGGAAUUCCCGGUGUAGCGGUGAAAUGCGCAGAUAUCGGGAAGAACACCUAUGGCGAAGGCAGCUCUCUGGGACGGUACUGACGCUGAGACGCGAAAGCGUGGGGAGCGAACAG
RNAcentral lists this ribosomal RNA (403 nucleotides) under uncultured bacterium. Its description in RNAcentral is "bacterial SSU rRNA". It matches the Rfam family "Bacterial small subunit ribosomal RNA", at positions 355 to 775 of the family's 1533-position model. The record is from RNAcentral.